UACGAAGGGGGCUAGCGUUGUUCGGAGUUACUGGGCGUAAAGGGUGUGUAGGCGGUCUACUAAGUCUGGUGUGAAAUCUCCCGGCUCAACUGGGAGGGUGCGCCGGAAACUGGAAGGCUAGAGUGCGGGAUGGGAGAGUGGAAUUCCUGGUGUAGCGGUGAAAUGCGUAGAUAUCAGGAGGAACACCUGUGGUGUAGACGGCUCUCUGGACCGCAACUGACGCUGAGACACGAAAGCGUGGGUAGCAAACAGG
Molecule: ribosomal RNA, 253 nt
Filed under: uncultured bacterium
Lineage: Bacteria
Description: partial 16S ribosomal RNA
Rfam family: Bacterial small subunit ribosomal RNA
Source: RNAcentral